GACGAACGCUGGCGGCGUGCUUAACACAUGCAAGUCGAACGGAAAGGCCCUUCGUGUGACUCGAGCUCCAAACGCGAGAGUAACACGAACAUGAUCUUCACCUCCCCUUGGCAUAAGGCUGACUAAAUGGGACUAAUACCAAAAAGGACCACGCGCUCCUUGUGCUGUGGGGGAAAGCUUUUGCGGUGGGGGAUGGGCACGCGGCCUAUCAGCUUGUUGGUGGGGUAGUGGCUUACCAAGGCGAUGACGGGUAGCCGGCCUGAGAGGGUGACCGGCCACACUGGGACUGAGAUACGGCCCAGACUCCUACGGGAGGCAGCAGUGGGGAAUAUUGCACAAUGGGCGGAAGCCUGAUGCAGCGACGCCGCGUGCGGGAUGACGGCCUUCGGGUUGUAAACCGCUUUCGACAGGGACGAAGCGUAAGUGACGGUAACUAGAGAAGAAGCACCGGCUAACUACGUG
This 462-nucleotide ribosomal RNA is filed under the name uncultured bacterium. RNAcentral's name for it is "partial 16S ribosomal RNA". It matches the Rfam family "Bacterial small subunit ribosomal RNA", at positions 28 to 507 of the family's 1533-position model. The record is from RNAcentral.